RNAcentral lists this ribosomal RNA (252 nucleotides) under uncultured bacterium. Its description in RNAcentral is "partial 16S ribosomal RNA". It matches the Rfam family "Bacterial small subunit ribosomal RNA", at positions 524 to 776 of the family's 1533-position model. The record is from RNAcentral.
UACGUAGGGGGCAAGCGUUGUCCGGCAUUAUUGGGCGUAAAGCGCGCGCAGGCGGUCAUUUAAGUCUGGUGGUUAAGCCCGGGGCUCAACCCCGGUUCGCAUCGGAAACUGGAUGACUUGAGUGUAGGAGAGGAAAGUGGAAUUCCACGUGUAGCGGUGAAAUGCGUAGAUAUCCUGAGGAACACCGGUGGCGAAAGCGGCGCGCUGGACCCCUUCUGACGCUGAGGCGCGAAAGCCAGGGGAGCAAACGGG